This 259-nucleotide RNase P RNA is filed under the name Candidatus Methanophagales archaeon ANME-1-THS. Its description in RNAcentral is "Methanophagales archaeon ANME-1-THS RNase P RNA component". It matches the Rfam family "Archaeal RNase P". Rfam says of the family: Ribonuclease P (RNase P) is a ubiquitous endoribonuclease, found in archaea, bacteria and eukarya as well as chloroplasts and mitochondria. Its best characterised activity is the generation of mature 5'-ends of tRNAs by cleaving the 5'-leader elements of precursor-tRNAs. Lineage: Archaea; Methanobacteriati; Methanobacteriota; Methanomicrobia; Candidatus Methanophagales. The record is from RNAcentral.
GAGAGAGGAAGGGCAGCCGCCGGUCUUCAUACGAAGGCUGAGGAAAGUCCCCCCACCAUAAAAACACGAAUGCCGAGAGGGCAUAAGGCGAGAGUCUUGGCUCUGGUAUAGAAACGAUACCGUGCCAUAGCUCGAUGAUGAUUCCGCAAGGAUGAGGUCUUAUGGUCACGGAUGGAACGACCAUCCUCGUGGGUGCAAGCCUGAGCAAGGCGCGAAGAUGAAUGCUGCCGAAACAGAAGGGGGCUUACUCUCCUCACUC